UGAUAAGUGUAUGAUAUUCCUAGGGUGUA
RNAcentral lists this non-coding RNA (29 nucleotides) under Rattus norvegicus (Norway rat). The record is from RNAcentral. Lineage: Eukaryota; Metazoa; Chordata; Mammalia; Rodentia; Muridae.